Molecule: ribosomal RNA, 238 nt
Filed under: uncultured bacterium
Lineage: Bacteria
Description: partial 16S ribosomal RNA
Rfam family: Bacterial small subunit ribosomal RNA
Source: RNAcentral
CGGCGGACGGGUGAGUAACGCGUGGGUAACCUGCCUCAUACAGGGGGAUAACAGUUGGAAACGGCUGCUAAUACCGCAUAAGCGCACAGUACCGCAUGGUACGGUGUGAAAAACUCCGGUGGUAUGAGAUGGACCCGCGUCUGAUUAGGUAGUUGGUGGGGUAACGGCCUACCAAGCCGACGAUCAGUAGCUGACCUGAGAGGGUGACCGGCCACAUCGGGACUGAGACACGGCCCAA